AGUUUAUUUCGGUACUUUGCGAAAUUUGCAGUAGGAGAUCAGUACAGUGAUAGUUUUUUUGCCAUAAAGUCAAUUGAAGGGUUUUAAAACGGAGAAAAUGGCAGAAACAGAUAAUUUGAAGUUUUAUUUUGGUUCCAGACUUCUCUCUCCUCUUUCUCAAUCCAUAGGCCUACCAAUAGAUCAGAUCAACUUUGUCGUUUGCCAAUUGAUAGCUCUAGUCUUAGGUUAUCCUUUUAGGAAAAUUUUUUCACCAAAAAUCGUUUCUCCAAGGACAAGGCAUUUUAUUGAAGUAUGCAUAGGUUUAGCAAUGAUGUACUUUUGCUUUGGCUUGUAAGUUUGACUCUCUUUCUUUCAAAUUCUUUUAGCAUCAUGAAAAUGAAAAAUCUUUAAAAAUGUAUUCUUAUCUUUUAUCAUUCCAUAUUUUAAGAGAACAGAUUAACCGCUUUUUAUCACGAACUUUACUCAGUAAAUAUAAGCAUCUAAUGGAAAUGCACAAAGCUAGAAGUUUCAAUACUCAAAGUCCAUAAAUUUAGUAGAGAAUGUGUUUUUUUGCUACAAUUGAUUAUUUCUCAAAAGAGAUUGUAAAACAGUACCUCGUUUAACGCUUGCUAUGUCGUUCCAUGUGAAAAUCUAAAAUUACUAAAGUAAUCUCUUUAUCACAAAAAUCUAGUUGUUAGAAAUGAGACUUCUUUUGUAUAUACUAUCUUCUAUAAUAUAUGCAAUUUAUUUCUUGUUACAGACAAAUAUGGCAUAUUCUUUUCCAUUCUCUUAUCUCUUAUGCAAUAAUGUUGACUUUCCCUGCGGGUUCUAUGGAAAUUUUAGUUUUCCUUCUAUCAAUGGGGCACGUCUCUGUAUGCCAUAUAUAUAGACAAUUGUAUGAUUAUGGAGGCUAUACACUUGACAUAACAGGCCCUCUAAUGAUAAACGUUCAAAGAAUAUCCAGUUUGGCUUGUAGUUUGGCCGAUGGUAGAGUAAAAGAUCAAUCAAAACUUAGUUCUAGUAGAAAACAACAUGCAGUCAAAAAAAAUCCAAGUCUACUUGAGUUAUUAUCAUACGUCUUUUCCUUUCACAAUACAAUUUGUGGCCCAUUCGCCUUCUUCGAUGAUUAUCAAGCUUUCAUCGAAGGUAAUACUGCAAAGAAACUUCAGAAUGGAGAUAUGUCGAAACAAUCCAGUUCUAGCGAACCUUCACCAUUCUGGCCUGUUCUAAAGAAAAUCUUUUUCGCAUUCUUUUACGUUUUCCUUGCACUUAAAGUCGUUCCUAUUUUCCCUAUCAGUACACUUAGAGAGUCAUCUUUCCAAGAUAAGUCGUUCCUAAUUAAGAUGUUUUUAGUGAUAAUGAUUACUACUGCUCAAAGACCUAAAUAUUAUUUUGCGUGGUCAAUAGGCGAAGCUGCCAACAACAAUGCUGGCUUUGGAAUCAGUGGCUAUGACGGCAAGGGAAAUGCCAAAUGGGAUUUGGUUAAUAAUGCUGAUGUAGCUCAAAUAGAGUUUUGCACAAGCUUGAAAGUAUUACUUGACAAUUGGAAUAAAACUACAACUUAUUGGUUACGUCACGUUGUGUACGACAGAGUGCCAGCGUUUAAAAUGUUAGCCGUUUUUGCAGUCUCAGGAACAUGGCAUGGAUUUUAUCCCGGUUACUAUAUAACAUUCUUUACUGGAUUCUUAUUUACAACUGCAGGAAGAUCUAUUAGAAAAUGUAUAAGACCUAUGUUUCAAGGCUCGAAACAAUCCCAAUUCCUUUAUGAUGUUAUAACUUCAAUUUCCACCAGAGUUGUUUUAGGUUAUCUAACCUUCUCUUUUGUUUUGUUGGAAUUUGAACCAUCUUGGAUUGUUUUAAAGCAAAUUUUCUUCUGGAUGCAUGGUGCAGCAUUAUUUGCUAUUCUCGUCCUACCAAGAUUAGUGAGAAAAAAUCAAACAAAGAAGGAAUAAUUGAAUAUUCCAAUUAUCAAAAUUAAAAAGAAAUAUUGCCAUAUUAGUUUUUUAAGUUUUCUCCUUAUUUUGUUUUCCUUUUUGAUUCAUUCGUAUUGUUUUGCAUAAUUAAUAUGCAUAAUAUCAUUCAAAAUUGUCACAAAGAGCAAUA
This 2082-nucleotide unclassified non-coding RNA is filed under the name Dimorphilus gyrociliatus. RNAcentral describes it as "dgyrCDS1788". The record is from RNAcentral. Lineage: Eukaryota; Metazoa; Annelida; Polychaeta; Dinophilidae.